UACAGAGGGGGCAAGCGUUGUUCGGAAUUACUGGGCGUAAAGGGCGCGUAGGCGGCCCGCUAAGUCGAACGUGAAAUCCCUGGGCUCAACCCAGGAACUGCGUCCGAUACUGGCAGGCUUGAAUCCGGGAGAGGGAUGUGGAAUUCCAGGUGUAGCGGUGAAAUGCGUAGAUAUCUGGAGGAACGCCGGUGGCGAAGGCGGCAUCCUGGACCGGUAUUGACGCUGAUGCGCGAAAGCCAGGGGAGCAAACGGG
This 253-nucleotide ribosomal RNA is filed under the name uncultured bacterium. Its description in RNAcentral is "partial 16S ribosomal RNA". It matches the Rfam family "Bacterial small subunit ribosomal RNA", at positions 524 to 776 of the family's 1533-position model. The record is from RNAcentral.